AGUGAACGCUGGCGGUAGGCCUAACACAUGCAAGUCGAACGGCAGCACAGUAAGAGCUUGCUCUUACGGGUGGCGAGUGGCGGACGGGUGAGGAAUACAUCGGAAUCUACUUUUUCGUGGGGGAUAACGUAGGGAAACUUACGCUAAUACCGCAUACGACCUACGGGUGAAAGCAGGGGAUCUUCGGACCUUGCGCGAUUGAAUGAGCCGAUGUCGGAUUAGCUAGUUGGCGGGGUAAAGGCCCACCAAGGCGACGAUCCGUAGCUGGUCUGAGAGGAUGAUCAGCCACACUGGAACUGAGACACGGUCCAGACUCCUACGGGAGGCAGCAGUGGGGAAUAUUGGACAAUGGGCGCAAGCCUGAUCCAGCCAUACCGCGUGGAUGAAGAAGGCCUUCGGGUUGUAAAGCCCUUUUGUUGGGAAAGAAAAGCAGCAGGUUAAUACCCCGCUGUUCUGACGGUACCCAAAGAAUAAGCACCGGCUAACUUCGU
Molecule: ribosomal RNA, 491 nt
Filed under: uncultured bacterium
Lineage: Bacteria
Description: partial 16S ribosomal RNA
Rfam family: Bacterial small subunit ribosomal RNA
Source: RNAcentral